GGGGAUUUAGCUCAGUGGUAGAGCGCUUGCCUAGCAAGCACAUGGCCCUGGGUUCAGUCCCCAGCUCCG
This 69-nucleotide transfer RNA is filed under the name Rattus norvegicus (Norway rat). It matches the Rfam family "tRNA". From Rfam's summary of the family: Transfer RNA (tRNA) molecules are approximately 80 nucleotides in length. The record is from Rfam by way of RNAcentral. Lineage: Eukaryota; Metazoa; Chordata; Mammalia; Rodentia; Muridae.